RNAcentral lists this transfer RNA (76 nucleotides) under Bacillota bacterium. RNAcentral's name for it is "tRNA-Lys". It matches the Rfam family "tRNA". Rfam says of the family: Transfer RNA (tRNA) molecules are approximately 80 nucleotides in length. Their secondary structure includes four short double-helical elements and three loops (D, anti-codon, and T loops). The record is from RNAcentral. Lineage: Bacteria; Bacillati; Bacillota. RNAcentral also lists the same sequence under 1 other name.
GGUUCGCUAGCUCAGUUGGUAGAGCAACAGACUCUUAAUCUGUGGGUCCGGGGUUCGAGCCCCCGGCGAAUCACCA